GACGAACGCUGGCGGCGUGCCUAAUACAUGCAAGUAGAACGCUGAAGAGAGGAGCUUGCUCUUCUUGGAUGAGUUGCGAACGGGUGAGUAACGCGUAGGUAACCUGCCUGGUAGCGGGGGAUAACUAUUGGAAACGAUAGCUAAUACCGCAUGACAUUGAUUAUCGCAUGAUAAUUAAUUGAAAGAUGCAAUUGCAUCACUACCAGAUGGACCUGCGUUGUAUUAGCUAGUUGGUGAGGUAACGGCUCACCAAGGCGACGAUACAUAGCCGACCUGAGAGGGUGAUCGGCCACACUGGGACUGAGACACGGCCCAGACUCCUACGGGAGGCAGCAGUAGGGAAUCUUCGGCAAUGGGGGGAACCCUGACCGAGCAACGCCGCGUGAGUGAAGAAGGUUUUCGGAUCGUAAAGCUCUGUUGUAAGAGAAGAACGGGUGUGAGAGUGGAAAGUUCACACUGGACG
RNAcentral lists this ribosomal RNA (463 nucleotides) under Streptococcus sanguinis. RNAcentral describes it as "bacterial SSU rRNA". It matches the Rfam family "Bacterial small subunit ribosomal RNA", at positions 28 to 474 of the family's 1533-position model. The record is from RNAcentral. Lineage: Bacteria; Bacillati; Bacillota; Bacilli; Lactobacillales; Streptococcaceae.